AAGACUGUCUGCUGAAGAGGUCCAGUUGCAUGAGGAAUCCGAUAGAAGGUCGACCGAUAGCAAAAUUCGGAAGGUGCUAUAGAAGGUUGACCGAUAGAAGAGUUUGGAAGGCAUUGUGAAAGUUCGUCUGCUGGAGGAGUCUGGAGGACACUACGGAAGGUCGACCGCUGGAGGGGUCCGAAGGGAAUUUGUCCGUUGGAGGGGUCUGGUUGGCACUGUUGAAGUCUGGUUGGCACUGCUGAAGGUUGAUGGCUGGAGAGGUACGGAAGACACCAGAGACAGUCGGUCACUGUAGA
RNAcentral lists this long non-coding RNA (296 nucleotides) under Elaeis guineensis (African oil palm). Its description in RNAcentral is "long non-coding RNA (EGUI_LNC070357)". The record is from RNAcentral. Lineage: Eukaryota; Viridiplantae; Streptophyta; Magnoliopsida; Arecales; Arecaceae.